AAUAUUUAAUGAUUUAUUGAUACAUAAAACGUGCAAACAGUUUUUUUUAUUUAGCUUAGUUAUUUUUUUUUUUACAUGAACUCUAUAUUCGUUCAAAUCAAUUAUCUUCCAACCACUCAGAACAAGCAAAGUAAACAAGGGAAAAAAAGAAAGAAACUGUCAAAGAUAAACAUCAAUUACAAAAUAAUAAAAAGGAAAAAAAACUAGAAAGUUGAACUCUGUUGUAAAGAGACACUCAAGCAUUAAGAGUUUGAAAACAUUCUACUUGAUGACAGUGUUAAGUGUAAUGUUAGCAGCUCAUGGAACUAGACUGAUCUGAAAGCCAGGAUGGUACAACACACACACAUAUGUUCACAUUCAUACCUUAAGGUGGCAGCCAAAUCAAUUUUUUUAAAUGAAUUUUUUUAUCCUACC
This is a non-coding RNA of Biomphalaria pfeifferi, 414 nucleotides long. The record is from the annotation of a GenBank genome assembly. NCBI's taxonomy places the organism in Eukaryota, Metazoa, Mollusca, Gastropoda, Planorbidae.